UUUGGGUCCGGCCGGCAGGGGUUAAGUCCACUGGAAAGUGGCGCCACAGAGGGUGACAGCCCCGUGAACCCCUUCAACGCCCUCAUCCCAGAUCUCCAAGAGUCGAGUUGUUUGGGAAUGCAGCUCUAAGUGGGUGGUAAAUUCCAUCUAAAGCUAAAUACCGGCGAGAGACCGAUAGCGAACAAGUACAGUGAUGGAAAGAUGAAAAGCACUUUGAAAAGAGAGUGAAAAAGUACGUGAAAUUGUUGAAAGGGAAGGGCUUGCAAGCAGACACUUAACUGGGCCAGCAUCGGGGCGGCGGGGAGCAAAACCACCGGGGAAUGUACCUUUCGAGGAUUAUAACCCCGGCCCUUACUCCCAUACCACCCCGAGGCCUGCAAUCUAAGGAUGCUGGCGUAAUGGUUGCAAGUCGCCC
This 415-nucleotide ribosomal RNA is filed under the name Metschnikowia sp. (in: budding yeasts & allies). Its description in RNAcentral is "LSU rRNA". It matches the Rfam family "Eukaryotic large subunit ribosomal RNA", at positions 160 to 650 of the family's 3401-position model. The record is from RNAcentral. Lineage: Eukaryota; Fungi; Ascomycota; Pichiomycetes; Serinales; Metschnikowiaceae.